GUGAACGAGCGACGCCGCGUGCAGGAUGAAGGCCUUCGGGUCGUAAACCACUGUCAAGGGGGAUGAAAGGCGUCGGUACUAAUAACACCGAUGUCGCGCCUGACAAAACCCUAGAGGAAGCACCGGCUAACUCCGUGCCAGCAGCCGCGGUAAUACGGAGGGUGCUAACGUUGUUCGGAUUCAUUGGGCUUAAAGGGCACGUAGGCGGCCGAUUAAGUCGGAUGUGAAAUCCCUCGGCUCAACCGAGGAACGGCAUUCGAAACUGGUCGGCUCGAGUGGAGAAGGGGAGAGCGGAACUUCUGGUGGAGCGGUGAAAUGCGUAGAUAUCAGAAGGAACGCCGGUGGCGAAAGCGGCUCUCUGGUCUCCUACUGACGCUGAGGUGCGAAAGCCAGGGGAGCAAACGGGAUUAGAUACCCCGGUAGUCCUGGCCGUAAACGAU
RNAcentral lists this ribosomal RNA (440 nucleotides) under uncultured anaerobic ammonium-oxidizing bacterium. RNAcentral's name for it is "bacterial SSU rRNA". It matches the Rfam family "Bacterial small subunit ribosomal RNA", at positions 383 to 810 of the family's 1533-position model. The record is from RNAcentral.